RNAcentral lists this ribosomal RNA (253 nucleotides) under uncultured bacterium. Its description in RNAcentral is "partial 16S ribosomal RNA". It matches the Rfam family "Bacterial small subunit ribosomal RNA", at positions 524 to 776 of the family's 1533-position model. The record is from RNAcentral.
UACGAAGGGUGCAAACGUUGCUCGGAAUUAUUGGGCGUAAAGCGCACGUAGGCGGCUCUGUAAGUUGGAUGUGAAAUCCCUCGGCUCAACCAGGGAAGUGCAUCCAAAACUGUAGAGCUUGAGUACUAAAGAGGAUCGCGGAAUUCCCGGUGUAGAGGUGAAAUUCGUAGAUAUCGGGAGGAACACCAGUGGCGAAGGCGGCGAUCUGGGUAGAUACUGACGCUGAGGUGCGAAAGCGUGGGGAGCAAACAGG